Molecule: ribosomal RNA, 440 nt
Filed under: uncultured bacterium
Lineage: Bacteria
Description: partial 16S ribosomal RNA
Rfam family: Bacterial small subunit ribosomal RNA
Source: RNAcentral
CCUACGGGAGGCAGCAGUGGGGAAUAUUGCACAAUGGGGGAAACCCUGAUGCAGCGACGCCGCGUGAGUGAAGAAGUAUUUCGGUACGUAAAGCUCUAUCAGCAGGGAAGAAAAUGACGGUACCUGACUAAGAAGCCCCGGCUAACUACGUUCCAGCCGCCGCGGUAAUACGUAGGGGGCAAGCGUUAUCCGGAUUUACUGGGUUUAACGGGAGCGUAGACGGCAGCGCAAGUCUGAAGUGAAAUCCCAUGGGUUAACCAUGGACCUGCUUUGGAAACUGUGCAGCUGGAGUGCAGGAGAGGUAAGCGGAAUUCCUAGUGUAGCGGUGAAAUGCGUAGAUAUUAGGAGGAACACCAGUGGCGAAGGCGGCUUACUGGACUGUAACUGACGUUGAGGCUCGAAAGCGUGGGUAGCAAACAGGAUUAGAUACCCUAGUAGUC